GAUGAACGCUGGCGGCGUGCCUAAUACAUGCAAGUCGAACGAAACUUCUUUAUCACCGAGUGCUUGCACUCACCGAUAAAGAGUUGAGUGGCGAACGGGUGAGUAACACGUGGGCAACCUGCCCAAAAGAGGGGGAAAACACUUGGAAACAGGUGCUAAUACCGCAUAACCAUAGUUACCGCAUGGUAACUAUGUAAAAGGUGGCUAUACUACCGCUUUUGGAUGGGCCCGCGGCGCAUUAGCUAGUUGGUAGGGUAAAGGCUUACCAAGGCAAUGAUGCGUAGCCGAAUUGAGAGGUUGAUCGGCCACAUUGGGACUGAGACACGGCCCAAACUCCUACGGGAGGCAGCAGUAGGGAAUCUUCCACAAUGGGCGAAAGCCUGAUGGAGCAACGCCGCGUGGGUGAAGAAGGUCUUCGGAUCGUAAAACCCUGUUGUUAGAGAAGAAAGUGCGUGAGAGUAACUGUUCACGUUUCGACGGUAUCUAACCGGAAAGCCACGGCUAACUACGUG
This 512-nucleotide ribosomal RNA is filed under the name uncultured bacterium. Its description in RNAcentral is "partial 16S ribosomal RNA". It matches the Rfam family "Bacterial small subunit ribosomal RNA", at positions 28 to 507 of the family's 1533-position model. The record is from RNAcentral.